UACGGGAGGCAGCAGUGGGGAAUAUUGCACAAUGGGCGAAAGCCUGAUGCAGCUAUGCCGCGUGUAUGAAGAAGGCCUUAGGGUUGUAAAGUACUUUCAUCGGGGAGGAAAAAACAAAACUAAUAAUUUUAUUUCUUGACGUUACCCGAAAAAGAAGCACCGGCUAACUCCGUGCCAGCAGCCGCGGUAAUACGGAGGGUGCUAGCGUUAAUCAGAAUUACUGGGCGUAAAGAGCACGUAGGUGGUUUUUUAAGUCAGAUGUGAAAUCCCUGGGCUUAACCUAGGAACUGCAUUUUGAAACUGAAAUACUAGAGUAUCGUAGAGGGAGGUAGAAUUCUAGGUGUAGCGGUGAAAUGCGUAGAUAUCUGGAGGAAUACCUGUGGCGAAAGCGGCCUCCUAAACGAAUACUGACACUGAGGUGCGAAAGCGUGGGGAGCAAACAGGGAUUAGAUACC
Molecule: ribosomal RNA, 455 nt
Filed under: uncultured bacterium
Lineage: Bacteria
Description: bacterial SSU rRNA
Rfam family: Bacterial small subunit ribosomal RNA
Source: RNAcentral